GGCAGCAUUUUAGUUUGCUUGCAAACUAAAGAUGGCGACCGGCGCACGGGUGAGUAACACGUAUCCAACCUACCGAUAACUCUGGAAUAGCCUUUCGAAAGAAAGAUUAAUACCGGAUAGUAUACGAAUAUCGCAUGAUAUUUUUAUUAAAGAAUUUCGGUUAUCGAUGGGGAUGCGUUCCAUUAGUUUGUUGGCGGGGUAACGGCCCACCAAGACUACGAUGGAUAGGGGUUCUGAGAGGAAGGUCCCCCACAUUGGAACUGAGACACGGUCCAAACUCCUACGGGAGGCAGCAGUGAGGAAUAUUGGUCAAUGGGCGCAGGCCUGAACCAGCCAAGUAGCGUGAAGGAUGACUGCCCUAUGGGUUGUAAACUUCUUUUAUAUGGGAAUAAAGUUUUCCACGUGUGGAAUUUUGUAUGUACCAUAUGAAUAAGGAUCGGCUAACUCCGUGCCAGCAGCCGCGGUAAUACGGAGGAUCCGAGCGUUAUCCGGAUUUAUUGGGUUUAAAGGGAGCGUAGGUGGAUUGUUAAGUCAGUUGUGAAAGUUUGCGGCUCAACCGUAAAAUUGCAGUUGAAACUGGCAGUCUUGAGUACAGUAGAGGUGGGCGGAAUUCGUGGUGUAGCGGUGAAAUGCUUAGAUAUCACGAAGAACUCCGAUUGCGAAGGCAGCUCACUAGACUGUC
RNAcentral lists this ribosomal RNA (682 nucleotides) under uncultured bacterium. Its description in RNAcentral is "bacterial SSU rRNA". It matches the Rfam family "Bacterial small subunit ribosomal RNA", at positions 68 to 738 of the family's 1533-position model. The record is from RNAcentral.